Molecule: ribosomal RNA, 536 nt
Filed under: uncultured bacterium
Lineage: Bacteria
Description: partial 16S ribosomal RNA
Rfam family: Bacterial small subunit ribosomal RNA
Source: RNAcentral
UGGGGAAUAUUGGACAAUGGGCGAAAGCCUGAUCCAGCAAUGCCGCGUGAGUGAUGAAGGCCCUAGGGUUGUAAAGCUCUUUUACCCGGGAUGAUAAUGACAGUACCGGGAGAAUAAGCCCCGGCUAACUCCGUGCCAGCAGCCGCGGUAAUACGGAGGGGGCUAGCGUUGUUCGGAAUUACUGGGCGUAAAGCGCACGUAGGCGGCUUUGUAAGUUAGAGGUGAAAGCCUGGAGCUUAACUCCAGAACUGCCUUUAAGACUGCAUCGCUUGAAUCCGGGAGAGGUGAGUGGAAUUCCGAGUGUAGAGGUGAAAUUCGUAGAUAUUCGGAAGAACACCAGUGGCGAAGGCGGCUCACUGGACCGGUAUUGACGCUGAGGUGCGAAAGCGUGGGGAGCAAAACAGGAUUAGAAUACCCGUGGUAGUCCACGCCGUAAAUGAUGAUAACUAGGCUGUCCGGGGACUUGGAUCUUUUGGGUGGCGCAGCUAACGCAUUAAGUUAUCCGCCCGGGGAGUACGGCCGCAAGGUUAAAACUU